AAAUUGAAGAGUUUGAUCAUGGCUCAGAUUGAACGCUGGCGGCAGGCCUAACACAUGCAAGUCGAACGGUAACAGAAAGCAGCUUGCUGCUUUGCUGACGAGUGGCGGACGGGUGAGUAAUGUCUGGGAAACUGCCUGAUGGAGGGGGAUAACUACUGGAAACGGUAGCUAAUAUCGCAUAACGUCGCAAGACCAAAGAGGGGGACCUU
Molecule: ribosomal RNA, 209 nt
Filed under: Escherichia coli
Lineage: Bacteria; Pseudomonadati; Pseudomonadota; Gammaproteobacteria; Enterobacterales; Enterobacteriaceae
Description: partial 16S ribosomal RNA
Rfam family: Bacterial small subunit ribosomal RNA
Source: RNAcentral